Molecule: unclassified non-coding RNA, 164 nt
Filed under: uncultured Sordariomycetes
Lineage: Eukaryota; Fungi; Ascomycota; Sordariomycetes
Description: sequence contains ITS1
Source: RNAcentral
CGAGAGUUGAAAAACUCCCAACCCAUUGUCUACCUACCUGUGGAAUCGUGCUUCGGCAGGCAGCCCCGUGGGACGGGGACCCCGCCUUCUCCGGAAGGUGCCUGCCGGUGGCCAACAAAACUCGUGUUAUCAAGUUACCAUCUGAGUCUACAAACAAAUAAUCA